This 391-nucleotide ribosomal RNA is filed under the name uncultured bacterium. Its description in RNAcentral is "bacterial SSU rRNA". It matches the Rfam family "Bacterial small subunit ribosomal RNA", at positions 96 to 482 of the family's 1533-position model. The record is from RNAcentral.
GUGCGAACGGGUGAGUAAUGUAUCGGAACGGUACCUUUCAGUGGGGGAUAACGUAGCGAAAGUUACGCUUAAUACCGCAUAUUCUGUGAGCAGGAAAGCAGGGGAUCGCAAGACCUUGCGCUGAUUGAGCGGCCGAUAUCAGAUUAGCUAGUUGGUGAGGUAAAGGCUCACCAAGGCGACGAUCUGUAGCGGGUCUGAGAGGAUGAUCCGCCACACUGGAACUGAGACACGGUCCAGACUCCUACGGGAGGCAGCAGUGGGGAAUUUUGGACAAUGGGGGCAACCCUGAUCCAGCCAUGCCGCGUGAGUGAAGAAGGCCUUCGGGUUGUAAAGCUCUUUCGUCCGGGAAGAAAUCGCAUCAGCUAAUACCUGGUGGGAUGACGGUACGGGA